UGUAACAGUGCGGUAUGGAAGUGCAAUCGAACCAUCAAAAAACCAACAGAUGGGCCUUGGGAGGAUUGCAUCCAUAGGUAUCCCGUUCAUAUCCCUGAAGUUGUCAAGCUCUAGACAGCUUCUUCAUUCAUGGCCUUCCUUCUUUGCCUUUAGUAUUUUGCUAAAAUCAUCAUCAUCAUCAUCAUCAUCAUCAUCGUCAUCAUCAUCAUCAUCUACUUCUUAUCCUACUCCAUCUCUGCCUUUAUAUUUCUCCUCUGUAUUUUUCUUAGCUCCUACUCAUUUGUCUCUCCUCUUCCUUUUCCAUUUUCUCUUUUCAAGCCAUGAAUUCACAUAGAUACCAAAUAUGAUCACAUUUAUGUGUUGACUAAAUAUAUCCCUUGCAAGGGAAUGAAAAAACAGUGUGGAAACAGGUUGGAUUAGCUCCUUGAAAUAAACCUGGAAUAUUUAACAGAAAAUGCUAUAUAUGUGCUUGAUUGUACAAAGAAAAAAAAAGAAAGUUAUAGCUAAAUUUGUCAAUCAUAAUAAUAGUCUUUUUUCCCUCAUCUUUUUAAUCCUUUUGGUGCUGUCCCUGUAGGGUCCCCUUAUUAAUGCCGGUUACCGUCUUUGUAGG
This 610-nucleotide long non-coding RNA is filed under the name Gossypium barbadense (sea-island cotton). RNAcentral describes it as "long non-coding RNA (GBAR_LNC014492)". The record is from RNAcentral. Lineage: Eukaryota; Viridiplantae; Streptophyta; Magnoliopsida; Malvales; Malvaceae.